RNAcentral lists this ribosomal RNA (115 nucleotides) under Candidatus Peribacteraceae bacterium. Lineage: Bacteria; Candidatus Peregrinibacteriota; Candidatus Peribacteria; Candidatus Peribacterales. The record is from RNAcentral.
CCUGGUGCUUCGAGCGACGGGGUAACACCUGAUCCCAUCCCGAACUCAGCAGUGAAGACCGUCAGCGCCAAUGGUAGUGGGGCAUCCGCCUUGCGAGAGUAGGCCGGUGCCAGGA